AGAGUUUGAUCCUGGCUCAGGAUAAACGCUAGCUACAGGCUUGACACAUGCAAGUCGAGGGGAAACGAUAUUGGAAGCUUGCUUCCGAUAGGCGUCGACCGGCGCACGGGUGAGUAACGCGUAUCCAACCUGCCCACCACUUGGGGAUAACCUUGCGAAAGUAAGACUAAUACCCAAUGAUAUCUCUAGAAGACAUCUGAAAGAGAUUAAAGAUUUAUCGGUGAUGGAUGGGGAUGCGUCUGAUUAGCUUGUUGGCGGGGUAACGGCCCACCAAGGCGACGAUCAGUAGGGGUUCUGAGAGGAAGGUCCCCCACAUUGGAACUGAGACACGGUCCAAACUCCUACGGGAGGCAGCAGUGAGGAAUAUUGGUCAAUGGGCGAGAGCCUGAACCAGCCAAGUAGCGUGCAGGAUGACGGCCCUAUGGGUUGUAAACUGCUUUUAUAAGGGAAUAAAGUGAGCCUCGUGAGGCUUUUUGCAUGUACCUUAUGAAUAAGGACCGGCUAAUUCCGUGCCAGCAGCCGCGGUAAUACGGAAGGUCCGGGCGUUAUCCGGAUUUAUUGGGUUUAAAGGGAGCGUAGGCCGGAGAUUAAGCGUGUUGUGAAAUGUAGAUGCUCAACGUCUGCACUGCAGCGCGAACUGGUUUCCUUGAGUACGCACAAAGUGGGCGGAAUUCGUGGUGUAGCGUUGAAAUGCUUAGAUAUCACGAAGAACUCCGAUUGCGAAGGCAGCUCACUGGAGCGCAACUGACGCUGAAGCUCGAAAGUGCGGGUAUCGAACAGGAUUAGAUACCCUGGUAGUCCGCACGGUAAACGAUGGAUGCCCGCUGUUGGUCUGAAUAGGUCAGCGGCCAAGCGAAAGCAUUAAGCAUCCCACCUGGGGAGUACGCCGGCAACGGUGAAACUCAAAGGAAUUGACGG
This 918-nucleotide ribosomal RNA is filed under the name uncultured bacterium. RNAcentral describes it as "bacterial SSU rRNA". It matches the Rfam family "Bacterial small subunit ribosomal RNA", at positions 8 to 916 of the family's 1533-position model. The record is from RNAcentral.